Molecule: long non-coding RNA, 216 nt
Organism: Cyprinodon tularosa
Lineage: Eukaryota; Metazoa; Chordata; Actinopteri; Cyprinodontiformes; Cyprinodontidae
Exons: 2
Source: RefSeq, a predicted model, not a curated record
GCAGCAAGAACCAGAACAUCCCUGGACAAAAGAGGAAACCAUGGAGCUCCCCAUAGCUGAUCAAUUCCAGCCUUUAAUGUUUUUGAAGCCUUUGAAGGACCCGGCCUACGUGGGCUGGGUCCUCAGAAAGCUGCAGCGCCUGAUUUUGGACUCGGUAGGAGAUCGGAAAAGCAGAAAGGAAGAUAAGUAAAAAAACAAAAAAAAAAAAACAGCCAA